Molecule: long non-coding RNA, 245 nt
Organism: Salvia splendens (bonfire salvia)
Lineage: Eukaryota; Viridiplantae; Streptophyta; Magnoliopsida; Lamiales; Lamiaceae
Exons: 3
Source: RefSeq, a predicted model, not a curated record
GCUGAAAUCGACUCGGAAACACCGACUACUUUCUAAUAGAUCGAAAAUGCCGAAGAGGGGUCGUCCGCUAUCGCAAGUAACAGAGGCUGCAGAGAAGCGAGUAAGAUCUGAACUCGACGAUGCAGUUGAUGAUUUAAUUCCGGUAGCGUUGGCACAAAAGUUGAGGGAUCGGUUGGCAGCUGCUGCCCCUAGUAGCUCAGCAGGUGAUGUUCAACAGACACAAGUUAAGGGAAGAAAGACUGAUC